This 72-nucleotide transfer RNA is filed under the name compost metagenome. RNAcentral's name for it is "tRNA-Trp". It matches the Rfam family "tRNA". From Rfam's summary of the family: Transfer RNA (tRNA) molecules are approximately 80 nucleotides in length. Their secondary structure includes four short double-helical elements and three loops (D, anti-codon, and T loops). The record is from RNAcentral.
GGGGGGUUAGCUCAGCGGUAGAGCAUCUGACUCCAGAUCAGCAGGUCGGGCGUUCAAUUCGCUCACUCCUCA